RNAcentral lists this long non-coding RNA (217 nucleotides) under Elaeis guineensis (African oil palm). RNAcentral's name for it is "long non-coding RNA (EGUI_LNC044665)". Lineage: Eukaryota; Viridiplantae; Streptophyta; Magnoliopsida; Arecales; Arecaceae. The record is from RNAcentral.
UGGAGGAGCUAGAUUCUAGUUUAUAUUAGAUCUAUCUCAAAGAGAAGACAGGUGGAGCAAGUGUUCACUUACUUUCUCUCUUUUUUUUUGGAGGGUCCUGAGGAGUUAGGUUUUAUAGAUGAAAAAGGGUACUUGUAGUCUGAGGAAGUAUUUGCCAUUUUUUUCUCUACAAAGCCAUGGAGACGUGAUGUGCUCUGGUUGUUAGAGGAUAACAGCU